RNAcentral lists this ribosomal RNA (244 nucleotides) under uncultured bacterium. RNAcentral's name for it is "partial 16S ribosomal RNA". It matches the Rfam family "Bacterial small subunit ribosomal RNA", at positions 87 to 334 of the family's 1533-position model. The record is from RNAcentral.
AGAGUAGAGCGGCGGACGGGUGAGUAACGCGUAGGAAUCUACCUGGUAGUGGGGGACAACUCGGGGAAACUCGAGCUAAUACCGCAUACGCCCUACGGGGGAAAGCGGGGGAUCUUCGGACCUCGCGCUAUCGGAUGAGCCUGCGUUGGAUUAGCUAGUUGGUGGGGUAAAGGCCCACCAAGGCGACGAUCCAUAGCUGGUCUGAGAGGAUGAUCAGCCACACCGGGACUGAGACACGGCCCGG